CAAUACAGAGCGGCGCACGGGUGAGUAACACGUGGGAACGUGCCCUUUGGUUCGGAAUAACUCAGGGAAACUUGANCUAAUACCGGAUAAGCCCUUACGGGGAAAGAUUUAUCGCCAUUGGAGCGGCCCGCGUCCGAUUAGCUUGUUGGUGAGGUAACGGCCCACCAAGGCUACGAUCGGUAGCUGGUCUGAGAGGACGACCAGCCACACUGGGACUGAGACACGGCCCAGACUCCUACGGGAGGCAGCAGUGGGGAAUCUUGGACAAUGGGGGAAACCCUGAUCCAGCCAUGCCGCGUGAGUGAUGAAGGCCCUAGGGUUGUAAAACUCUUUCGGCGGGGACGAUAAUGACGGUACCCGCAGAAGAAGCUCCGGCUAACUUCGUGCCAGCAGCCGCGGUAAUACGAAGGGGGCUA
RNAcentral lists this ribosomal RNA (416 nucleotides) under uncultured bacterium. Its description in RNAcentral is "bacterial SSU rRNA". It matches the Rfam family "Bacterial small subunit ribosomal RNA", at positions 86 to 537 of the family's 1533-position model. The record is from RNAcentral.